GUACUGCUGAAGAGUCCCAAACCGGGACGAAAUAGCAGCUAUCCAGUAC
This 49-nucleotide non-coding RNA is filed under the name Trichobilharzia regenti. Lineage: Eukaryota; Metazoa; Platyhelminthes; Trematoda; Strigeidida; Schistosomatidae. The record is from RNAcentral.